RNAcentral lists this ribosomal RNA (450 nucleotides) under uncultured bacterium. RNAcentral describes it as "partial 16S ribosomal RNA". It matches the Rfam family "Bacterial small subunit ribosomal RNA", at positions 354 to 796 of the family's 1533-position model. The record is from RNAcentral.
GUGGGGAAUAUUGGACAAUGGGCGAAAGCCUGAUCCAGCCAUGCCGCGUGUGUGAAGAAGGUCUUCGGAUUGUAAAGCACUUUAAGUUGGGAGGAAGGGUAGUAACCUAAUACGUUGCUACUUUGACGUUACCGACAGAAUAAGCACCGGCUAACUUCGUGCCAGCAGCCGCGGUAAUACGAAGGGUGCAAGCGUUAAUCGGAAUUACUGGGCGUAAAGCGCGCGUAGGUGGUUUUGUAAGUUGGAGGUGAAAUCCCCGGGCUCAACCUGGGAACUGCCACCAAAACUGCAUGACUAGAGUACGGUAGAGGGUAGUGGAAUUUCCUGUGUAGCGGUGAAAUGCGUAGAUAUAGGAAGGAACACCAGUGGCGAAGGCGACUACCUGGACUGAUACUGACACUGAGGUGCGAAAGCGUGGGGAGCAAACAGGAUUAGAAACCCUAGUAGUCC